RNAcentral lists this ribosomal RNA (483 nucleotides) under uncultured bacterium. RNAcentral describes it as "partial 16S ribosomal RNA". It matches the Rfam family "Bacterial small subunit ribosomal RNA", at positions 30 to 506 of the family's 1533-position model. The record is from RNAcentral.
AUUGAACGCUAGCGGGAUGCUUUACACAUGCAAGUCGAACGGCAGCGCGGACUUCGGUCUGGCGGCGAGUGGCGAACGGGUGAGUAAUGUAUCGGAACGUGCCCAGUAGCGGGGGAUAACUACGCGAAAGCGUAGCUAAUACCGCAUACGCCCUACGGGGGAAAGCAGGGGAUCGUAAGACCUUGCACUAUUGGAGCGGCCGAUAUCGGAUUAGCUAGUUGGUGAGGUAACGGCUCACCAAGGCGACGAUCCGUAGCUGGUUUGAGAGGACGACCAGCCACACUGGGACUGAGACACGGCCCAGACUCCUACGGGAGGCAGCAGUGGGGAAUUUUGGACAAUGGGGGCAACCCUGAUCCAGCCAUCCCGCGUGUGCGAUGAAGGCCUUCGGGUUGUAAAGCACUUUUGGCAGGAAAGAAACGUCGCGGGCUAAUACCCCGUGGAACUGACGGUACCUGCAGAAUAAGCACCGGCGAACUACGU